Pezoporus occidentalis (night parrot) is the source of this 1349-nucleotide long non-coding RNA. RefSeq lists it as uncharacterized. NCBI's taxonomy places the organism in Eukaryota, Metazoa, Chordata, Aves, Psittaciformes, Psittacidae. The record is from RefSeq and is a predicted model, not a curated record. The transcript has 2 exons.
UUCCCAUGUGGUUUGGGUUGGUUUUUCUCCCAAAAUUCUUUAUUCAUUCUAGGCAAAAAGAAGAAAGAAAAUAGAAAAACUACACAUUAAUCCCAUACAGCUAAAACUUAACCUGUCUCAGGGGAUGCAAGAUAUGAAUAUUCACAGUGCUCUCAGAAUUUGCAAGCAAGAAAGCUAUUGAAAAGUCAAGGAAUAAAGAGAAGGAUCACCCUGAACAGAAUGGCACUUGUUCCUUCUGCCACUUCAAGUUACUGACUUCCUUGCAGUCUCCAUGCAUUCAUUUGCAUAACAGAGGUGAUCAUCUGGCCUUUACUACAGCAAAUUGAAUAUAAACCAGUUACUGAAAUAUAAAACACAUCCUAGGGAAUUCUCUGAACACUGGCAUACAAAUGAAGACCUUAGUGCUGCCUAGGAAUAAUGGAGGUGACAGAAGAGAAAUAUUGGUGUUGCUGAUUGACUCUUAUUGUUACAAGAUGUAUGAGAGGCUACAGCAGCAUUUCACAGUCUUGGUGAAAGAAAUGCUUGUUUUAGUUUAUCUCCCUUCUCCCAUUGCUGUAAAGUUGUUUAAGAGACUGGGCUUCAUAUUUCAGUAUAUAACUUGCCACCAAAUCCAGCCACAUUUUUGACACUGUUUUGGACUGAAUUGGAGACAAGCUGGGAGAUUUCUGCUUACACUGAGAUAUAAUCAUGUACUUAAUGGCCUUAUUUUUAAGCACCAAACCUCAUGAAAAGGACCUCCUGAUCUGCAACAUUUUACUGGGCCAUUCUGUUUAGAAUACAUUUCCAGUUUCCCUGGUAAGACACUAUUUUCCUUCUUAACAUAAAACCAGCUUCAGUCUUUUAUUCCUAAAAUUUAGAAAUGAACAGAGAAGUAUCGACCACACUCCUACUCAAUCUUUUUGACCAGGAUUCCCCAUCUUUCAUUUCUGCUAGAGCAGGCUAGGAUGCCAUGCCUCCUCUGUCACUUAACAGAACUACUACACAUACACACUAAGUCCAGGACUUCCUAGGGAAAAGGCACAAGUGUUGCUGUGCUUUCUUUCAGAAAGCCUGUCAGUUACUGCUCUAAGUUCUCUAACCUUCUAUUGUAUGUUCAAUACAGUAAUCUCUUCCCCUUUAAGUUUGCCCAUAAGAUACAAUUUAGUGAAUCUGUUUCUUCCCAUCUGCUGCAACUGGCUGUCCAAGCUCUCCAUUACUCUCUUCAAAUCAGUUUUCUCUAACAUUUGUGUAAGUCGAAUCUCAUUCACUCAAGGAGAGAUUGACGCUACUAGGUUGCAAUCUCAUCCAGAACCUAACAUUUCUCUCAUGAAGAUGGCCUUAAUGCCAUCAUUUUAAGGACUAAACCUAAC